RNAcentral lists this transfer RNA (74 nucleotides) under Lovettia sealii (Tasmanian whitebait). RNAcentral's name for it is "tRNA-Lys". It matches the Rfam family "tRNA". From Rfam's summary of the family: Transfer RNA (tRNA) molecules are approximately 80 nucleotides in length. Their secondary structure includes four short double-helical elements and three loops (D, anti-codon, and T loops). The record is from RNAcentral. Lineage: Eukaryota; Metazoa; Chordata; Actinopteri; Galaxiiformes; Galaxiidae.
CACUGAGAAGCUUAACCGGACGAAGCAUUAGCCUUUUAAGCUAAAGAAUGGUGUUUUCCAAUCACCCUCCGUGA